GGUGGUGAUGGACAGUGGAGAUAGAGGGUGGUGAUGGACAGUGGACAUGGAUAGUGGAGACAGAGGGUAGUGAUGGACAGUGGAGAUAGAGGGUGGUGAUGGACAGUGGAGACAGAGGGUGGUGAUGGACCCUGGAGAUAGAGGGUGGUGAUGGACAGUGGAGAUAGAGGGUGGUGAUGGGCGGUGGACAUGGACAGUGGAGAUAGAGGGUGGUGAUGGACAGUGGACAUGGACAGUGGAGAUAGAGGGUAGUGAUAGACGGUGGACAUGGAUAGUGGAGAUAGAGGGUGGUGAUGGACGGUGGACAUGGACAGUGGAGAUAGAGGGUGGUGAUGGACGGUGGACAUGGACAGUGGAGAUAGAGGGUGGUGAUGGAUGGUGGACAUGGACAGUGGAGACAGAGGGUGGUGAUGGACGGUGGAGAUAGAGGGUAGUGAUGGACGGUGGACAUGGACAGUGGAGACGGAGGGUAGUGAUGGAUGGUGGACAUGGACAGUGGAGACAGAGGGUAGUGACGGACGGUGGACAUGGACAGUGGAGACAGAGGGUAGUGAUGGAUGGUGGACAUGGGCAGUGGAGGUGGAGGGUAGUGAUGGACGGUGGACGUGGACAGUGGAGAUGGAGGGUAGUGAUGUACAGUGGACAUGGACAGUGGAGAUAGAGAGUGGUGAUGGACAGUGGAGAUAGAAGGUGGUGAUGGACAGUGGAGAUAGAAGGUGGUGAUGGACAGUGGACAUGGACGCUGGAGAUAGAGGGUG
Molecule: long non-coding RNA, 758 nt
Filed under: Homo sapiens (human)
Lineage: Eukaryota; Metazoa; Chordata; Mammalia; Primates; Hominidae
Description: non-protein coding lnc-AKT1-1:11
Source: RNAcentral